Molecule: non-coding RNA, 52 nt
Organism: Pseudomonas floridensis
Lineage: Bacteria; Pseudomonadati; Pseudomonadota; Gammaproteobacteria; Pseudomonadales; Pseudomonadaceae
Source: Rfam
GGGUGUGAAACCAAUUGGCUUUUAACCAAUUGGUCGUAGGUUCGAAUCCCAC